This 75-nucleotide antisense RNA is filed under the name Streptomyces sp. MnatMP-M17. Its description in RNAcentral is "ASpks TB sRNA". It matches the Rfam family "ASpks TB sRNA". Lineage: Bacteria; Bacillati; Actinomycetota; Actinomycetes; Kitasatosporales; Streptomycetaceae. The record is from Rfam by way of RNAcentral.
CUUGACCGAACCGAGCAGCAGCGGCCGGCUUCUGUCGCGGCCCUGACCGUAGGUGGCGAGCAGCGCCUGGGCCUC